Molecule: ribosomal RNA, 541 nt
Filed under: Lodderomyces sp. W8Y16
Lineage: Eukaryota; Fungi; Ascomycota; Pichiomycetes; Serinales; Debaryomycetaceae
Description: eukaryotic LSU rRNA
Rfam family: Eukaryotic large subunit ribosomal RNA
Source: RNAcentral
UAGCGGCGAGUGAAGCGGCAAUAGCUCAAAUUUGAAAUCUGGCACUUUCAGUGUCCGAGUUGUAAUUUGAAGAAGGUAUCUUUGGGUCUAGCUCUUGUCUAUGUUUCUUGGAACAGAACGUCACAGAGGGUGAGAAUCCCGUGCGAUGAGAUGUCUAGAUCUAUGUAAAGUUCCUUCGAAGAGUCGAGUUGUUUGGGAAUGCAGCUCUAAGUGGGUGGUAAAUUCCAUCUAAAGCUAAAUAUUGGCGAGAGACCGAUAGCGAACAAGUACAGUGAUGGAAAGAUGAAAAGAACUUUGAAAAGAGAGUGAAAAAGUACGUGAAAUUGUUGAAAGGGAAGGGCUUGAGAUCAGACUUGGUAUUUUGUAUGUUACUCUCUCGGGGGUGGCCUCUACAGUUUACCGGGCCAGCAUCAGUUUGAGCGGUAGGAGAAUUGCGUAGGAAUGUGGCUCGGCCUCGGUCGAGUGUUAUAGCCUUCGUCGAUACUGCCAGCUUAGACUGAGGACUGCGGCUUCGGCCUAGGAUGUUGGCAUAAUGAUCUUA